UGUGGAAAGACUGAGGAGGAAGAUGGACGCCAUUCCCUCCAAAACUGAAGAACAGAGUCUACCUCCAGAGGUCACAGCGACUUAUCAGCCCUUGACCUCUGACCCUCGACAGUAUACAUAUGUGAAUGUGGUAAUGUCUCUUUUGCAUAACUUGCACACCCUACACACAACUUCUCGCCUACAAAUCCCUUAAUGGGCAGACACUGUCCGAUCUUAAAGCGCUGGUUAUACCCUACUGUCCCACUAAGGCGUUGUGUUCCACAAAUGCAGCGUUGUUGGUUGUUCCAAGACUCUCUGAAAGUACAAUGGGAUCAAGUGUUACUGCAACUGUCUUUUUCCCAUGCUGCUUCAAACUUGAAGGUUCUGUAUCUAAAUUAGUGUGUCUGUGGUAACAGAAAACACUUCUCGGAUACGCUUAUCUGUGGGAUGUAUAUAUUUUUUCUCUGCAACUGGCUGUUUCCUACGCUGCUUCUAACUUGAAGGGCAACACACCAAACACACACUACACACAACUUCUCGCCUACAAAUCCCUUAAUGGGCAGGCACCAUCUGAUCUUAAAGAGCUGGUUAUACCCUACUGUCCCACUAAGGCGUUGUGUUCCACAAAUGCAGCAUUGUUGGUUGUUCCAAGAGUCUCUGAAAGUACAAUGGGAUAAAGUGUUACUGCAACUGUCUUUGUCCCAUGCUGCUUCAAACUAUAAGGUUCUCUAUCUAAAGAAGUGUCUCUGGUAACAGAAAACACUUCUAGGAUACGCUUAUCUAUGGGAUUUACAUCUCAGUGGUUUUACUCUGCAACUGGCUGUUUCUUACGCUGCUACUAACCCAGCUUCCUUGUAGUUUUUUGUGUCUGUCACUUGGUAUGUUGUCAGCAUUGAAGGCGUCUCCUGCAUCCUGAGUCGUGGCUGUCCCUGUUGCUGUGUUCCUGCCUGACGCUCACCUUACUGCUUCUUUGAUGGCAGCCAGAGGAUUGUCGACAACCACCUGGAUCUAUCUUCAUCUUCUUCAAUAUUGACACAGACUGUUUUCCAGCGUUUGGACUACCUAUGUUGUAAAUAUAGUAUCUCUUUUCUUUCUCUGUACCUGAAUACUCUAAUAUGUUAAAUGUGUCUGCUACCUUUUUGGUGUCCCCGUUGAAGUUGAUCGUCUUCUAAAUACGCACAAUAUAUUUUCUAGAGAAUACUUUCUCGAUACACUUAACUGUGGGAUGUAUAUCUUUAAUGCUUUUUUCUGCAACUGGCUGUUUCUUGCGCUGCUACUAACCCAGCUUCCUUGCAGUUUUUCGUGUCUGUCACUUGGUAGUUUGUCAGCAUUGAAGGCGUCUCCUGAGUCGAGGCUGUCCCUGUUGCCGUGUUCCUGCCUGACGCUCACCUUACUGCUUCUUUGAUGGCAGCCAGAGGAUUGUCGACAUCCACCUGGAUCUAUCUUCAUCGUCUUCGAAAUAGACACAUGACAUCUAUUGUACGGCGGCCUGCCUGCCUAUUUUGUCCAAUGUGGGGGCCCAAGGACAGAGGGUGACUUAUUCCUUAUCUGUACAAACUGUAUCAUCCCAGAGGUAACUUUGUAGUACUGUGCUACUUUUUUCAGUGUACAAAUUCCUUAAUGGACACGCACCAUCCGAUAUUAAAGAGCUGGUUAUAGCCUAGUGGGACAGUAGUGCUUUGUGUUCCACAAAUUCAGGGAUAUUGGUUGUUCCCAGAGUCUCUGAAAGUACAAUGGGAUUUAGUGUCACUGCAACUGUCUUUUUCUUAUGCUGCUUCAAACUUGACGGUAUCUAUAAAAAGUGUGAAUGUGGGAACAGAAAACACUUCUCGGAUACGCUUAUCUAUGGGAUCUACAUCGCAAUGGUUUUGCGCUGCAACUGGCUGUUUCCUACGCUGCUUCUAGCUUGAAGGGACACACACACACACACACACACACACACCCACCCUUCUCGCCUACAAAUCCAUAAUGGACAGGCACCAUCCGAUAUUAAGGAGCUGGUUAUAGCCUAGUGGGACAGUAUGGCGUUGUGUUCCACAAAUGCAGUGUUGUUGGUUGUUCCUAGAGUCUCUGAAAGUACAAUGGGAUCAAGUGUUACUGCAAUUGCCUUUUUCCCAUGCUGCUUCAAACUUGAAGGUUCUGUAUCUAAAGAAGUGUGUCUGUGGUAACAGAAAACACUUCUAGGAUACGCUUUACUAUGGGAUGUGUCUUUCCAAUGUUUUUUCUCUGCACCUGGCUGUUUCCUAUGCUGCUUCUAACUUGAAAGCAACACACGACACGCAAAACACACCCUACACACACUUCUCGCCUACAAAUUCCUUAGUGGACACACGCCAUCCGAUAUUAAAGAGCUGGUUAUAGCCUAGUGGGACAGUAGCACUUGGUGUUCCACAAAUUCAGGGAUAUUGGUUGUUCCCAGAGUCUCUGAAAGUACAAUGGGAUUUAGUGUUACGGCAACUGUCUUUUUCCCAUGCUGCUUCAAACUUGCCGGUAUCUAUAAAAAGUGUUAAUGUGGUAACAGAAAACACUUCUCGGAUACGCUUAUCUAUGGGAUGUACAUCUCAAUGGUUUUGCUCUGCAACUGGCUGCUUCUAGCUUGAAGGGACACACGCGCACACACCUUCUCGCCUACAAAUCCCUUAAUGGGCAGGCACCAUCCGAUAUUAAAGAGCUGGUUAUAGCCUAGUGGGACAGUAGGGCGUUGUGUUCCACAAAUGCAGUGUUAUUGGUGGUUCCCAGUGUCUGACAGAACAAUGGGAUCAAGUGUUACUGCAACUGUCUUUUUCCCAUGCUGCUUCAAACAUGAAGGUUCUGUAUCUAAAGAAGUGUGUCUGUGGUAACAGAAAACACUUCUAGGAUACGCUUAACUUUUCAAUGUUUUUUCUCUGCACCUGGCUGUUUCCUAUGCUGCUUCUAACUUGAAAGCAACACACGACACGCAAAACACUCCCUAGACACACGUUCUCGCCUACAAAUCCCUUGAUGGGCAGGUACCAUCCUAUAUUAUACCUGUAUUCCCCUCGUCCCAAAUAUGUAUGCAACUAACCAAUCUUCCUAGGAGUUUUUUGUGUUGGUCACUUGGAAGCUGGUCCCACAGAAAGCAUCUCCUGAGUCAUGGCUGUCCCUGUUGCGGUGUUCCUGCCUGACGCUCGCCUUACUAGUUCUUUGAUGGCAGCCAGAGGAUUGUUGACAUCCACCUGGAUCGAUCUUCAUCCUCGUCUAGCAUUGAAGGCGUCUCCUGCAUCCUGAGUCGUGGCUGUCCCUGUUGCUGUGUUCCUGCCUGACGCUCACCUUAAUGCUUCUUUGAUGGCAGCCAGAGGACUGUCGACAUCCACGUGGAUCCAUCUUCAUCUUCUUCAAUAUUGACACAGGAUGUUUUCCAGGGUUUGGACUACUUAUGAUGUAAAUAUAGUAUCUCUUUUCUUUCUCUGUACCUGAAUACUCGUGUCCCAAAUAAGUAUGCCACUAACCCAGCUUCCUUGUAGUUCUUUGUGUCUGUUACUUGGUAUGUUGGCAGCAUUGAAGGCGUCUCCUGCAUCCUGAGUCGUGGCUGUCCCUGUUGCUGUGUUCCUGCCUGACGCUCACCUUAAUGCUUCUUUGAUGGCAGCCAGAGGACUGUCAACAUCCACCUGGAUCCAUCCUCAUCUUCUUCAAUAUUGACACAGGAUGUUUUCCAGGGUUUGGACUACCUGUGUUGUAAAUAUAGUAUCUCUUUUCUUUCUCUGUACCUGAAUACUCAUGUCCCAAAUAAGUAUGCCACUAACCCAGCUUCCUUGUAUUUUUUCUUUCUAUCACUUGGCAGACUGCAGCAUUGAAGGAGUCUCCUGCAUCCUGAGUGGUGACUGUUGCUGUGGUCCUGCCUGACGCUCCCCUUACUACUGCUUUGAUGGCAGCCAGAGGAUUGUUGACAUCCACCUGGCUCGAUCUUCAUUAUUUAUUGAAUAGACGCAUGAUGUUUUCUAGCAUUUCGAUUACCUAUGUUGUAAAUGUAAUGUGUCUUUAAUUUACACACGACAUCUAUUGCACUUCUGUCCAUCCUGGGAGAGGGAUCCCUCCUCGCUUGCUCUCCCUGAGGUUUCUUCCAUUUUUUCCCCCAUUAACUGUGGGGUUUUGUGGGAAGUUUUUCCUUAUCCGAUGUGGGGGUCUAAGGACAGAGGGUGUCGUAUUCGUAAUCUGUACAAACUGUAAAGUACCAUAAUAAUAAAUAUGCCAGAUGAAGGCUAAAGACAA
Long non-coding RNA from Eleginops maclovinus (Patagonian blennie), 4209 nucleotides. RefSeq lists it as uncharacterized. The record is from RefSeq and is a predicted model, not a curated record. The transcript has 3 exons. Lineage: Eukaryota; Metazoa; Chordata; Actinopteri; Perciformes; Eleginopidae.